Molecule: long non-coding RNA, 258 nt
Filed under: Linum usitatissimum (flax)
Lineage: Eukaryota; Viridiplantae; Streptophyta; Magnoliopsida; Malpighiales; Linaceae
Description: long non-coding RNA (LUSI_LNC007592)
Source: RNAcentral
CGCUUUUUAAAAUAGGUUAUAGGAGAAAAGCAAAUAAUUGUUGUAGAUUCUUUGUUUUACAUUCUUAAUUUUUUUAUCAAGAUCGGUUCUAAACUCGACAAAAAAUAAAAGAAAACGACACUAUACUAGCACUACCCCGACUGCAUAACAUAACAUAACACAACCUAAAAACAAAACAUUAAAAAAAAUCACCACUACAAUGAAAAUAGUAGAGAAAUAAAAAAAAAUUAAGCAACAAAGGGAUAGCCGCUUCUUGAU